This 468-nucleotide ribosomal RNA is filed under the name uncultured bacterium. Its description in RNAcentral is "partial 16S ribosomal RNA". It matches the Rfam family "Bacterial small subunit ribosomal RNA", at positions 28 to 507 of the family's 1533-position model. The record is from RNAcentral.
GACGAACGCUGGCGGCGUGCUUAACACAUGCAAGUCGAACGGAAAGACCCUGCUUUUGUGGGGUGCUCGAGUGGCGAACGGGUGAGUAACACGUGAGUAACCUGCCCUUGACUUUGGGAUAACUUCAGGAAACUGGGGCUAAUACCGGAUAGGAGCUCCUGCUGCAUGGUGGGGGUUGGAAAGUUUCGGCGGUUGGGGAUGGACUCGCGGCUUAUCAGCUUGUUGGUGGGGUAGUGGCUUACCAAGGCUUUGACGGGUAGCCGGCCUGAGAGGGUGACCGGCCACAUUGGGACUGAGAUACGGCCCAGACUCCUACGGGAGGCAGCAGUGGGGAAUAUUGCACAAUGGGCGGAAGCCUGAUGCAGCAACGCCGCGUGCGGGAUGACGGCCUUCGGGUUGUAAACCGCUUUCGCCUGUGACGAAGCGUGAGUGACGGUAAUGGGUAAAGAAGCACCGGCUAACCACGUG